RNAcentral lists this ribosomal RNA (2890 nucleotides) under Neisseria gonorrhoeae. Its description in RNAcentral is "bacterial LSU rRNA". It matches the Rfam family "Bacterial large subunit ribosomal RNA". Lineage: Bacteria; Pseudomonadati; Pseudomonadota; Betaproteobacteria; Neisseriales; Neisseriaceae. The record is from RNAcentral.
UCAAGUGAAUAAGUGCAUCAGGCGGAUGCCUUGGCGAUGAUAGGCGACGAAGGACGUGUAAGCCUGCGAAAAGCGCGGGGGAGCUGGCAAUAAAGCUAUGAUUCCGCGAUGUCCGAAUGGGGAAACCCACUGCAUUCUGUGCAGUAUCCUAAGUUGAAUACAUAGGCUUAGAGAAGCGAACCCGGAGAACUGAACCAUCUAAGUACCCGGAGGAAAAGAAAUCAACCGAGAUUCCGCAAGUAGUGGCGAGCGAACGCGGAGGAGUCUGUACGUAAUAACUGUCGAGAUAGAAGAACAAGCUGGGAAGCUUGACCAUAGCGGGUGACAGUCCCGUAUUCGAAAUCUCAACAGCGGUACUAAGCGUACGAAAAGUAGGGCGGGACACGUGAAAUCCUGUCUGAAUAUGGGGGGACCAUCCUCCAAGGCUAAAUACUCAUCAUCGACCGAUAGUGAACCAGUACCGUGAGGGAAAGGCGAAAAGAACCCCGGGAGGGGAGUGAAACAGAACCUGAAACCUGAUGCAUACAAACAGUGGGAGCGCCCUAGUGGUGUGACUGCGUACCUUUUGUAUAAUGGGUCAACGACUUACAUUCAGUAGCGAGCUUAACCGGAUAGGGGAGGCGUAGGGAAACCGAGUCUUAAUAGGGCGAUGAGUUGCUGGGUGUAGACCCGAAACCGAGUGAUCUAUCCAUGGCCAGGUUGAAGGUGCCGUAACAGGUACUGGAGGACCGAACCCACGCAUGUUGCAAAAUGCGGGGAUGAGCUGUGGGUAGGGGUGAAAGGCUAAACAAACUCGGAGAUAGCUGGUUCUCCCCGAAAACUAUUUAGGUAGUGCCUCGAGCAAGACACUGAUGGGGGUAAAGCACUGUUAUGGCUAGGGGGUUAUUGCAACUUACCAACCCAUGGCAAACUCAGAAUACCAUCAAGUGGUUCCUCGGGAGACAGACAGCGGGUGCUAACGUCCGUUGUCAAGAGGGAAACAACCCAGACCGCCGGCUAAGGUCCCAAAUGAUAGAUUAAGUGGUAAACGAAGUGGGAAGGCACAGACAGCCAGGAUGUUGGCUUAGAAGCAGCCAUCAUUUAAAGAAAGCGUAAUAGCUCACUGGUCGAGUCGUCCUGCGCGGAAGAUGUAACGGGGCUCAAAUCUAUAACCGAAGCUGCGGAUGCCGGUUUACCGGCAUGGUAGGGGAGCGUUCUGUAGGCUGAUGAAGGUGCAUUGUAAAGUGUGCUGGAGGUAUCAGAAGUGCGAAUGUUGACAUGAGUAGCGAUAAAGCGGGUGAAAAGCCCGCUCGCCGAAAGCCCAAGGUUUCCUACGCAACGUUCAUCGGCGUAGGGUGAGUCGGCCCCUAAGGCGAGGCAGAAAUGCGUAGUCGAUGGGAAACAGGUUAAUAUUCCUGUACUUGAUUCAAAUGCGAUGUGGGGACGGAGAAGGUUAGGUUGGCAAGCUGUUGGAAUAGCUUGUUUAAGCCGGUAGGUGGAAGACUUAGGCAAAUCCGGGUUUUCUUAACACCGAGAAGUGAUGACGAGUGUCUACGGACACGAAGCAACCGAUACCACGCUUCCAGGAAAAGCCACUAAGCUUCAGUUUGAAUCGAACCGUACCGCAAACCGACACAGGUGGGCAGGAUGAGAAUUCUAAGGCGCUUGAGAGAACUCGGGAGAAGGAACUCGGCAAAUUGAUACCGUAACUUCGGGAGAAGGUAUGCCCUCUAAGGUUAAGGACUUGCUCCGUAAGCCCCGGAGGGUCGCAGAGAAUAGGUGGCUGCGACUGUUUAUUAAAAACACAGCACUCUGCCAACACGAAAGUGGACGUAUAGGGUGUGACGCCUGCCCGGUGCCGGAAGGUUAAUUGAAGAUGUGCAAGCAUCGGAUCGAAGCCCCGGUAAACGGCGGCCGUAACUAUAACGGUCCUAAGGUAGCGAAAUUCCUUGUCGGGUAAGUUCCGACCCGCACGAAUGGCGUAACGAUGGCCACACUGUCUCCUCCCGAGACUCAGCGAAGUUGAAGUGGUUGUGAAGAUGCAAUCUACCCGCUGCUAGACGGAAAGACCCCGUGAACCUUUACUGUAGCUUUGCAUUGGACUUUGAAGUCACUUGUGUAGGAUAGGUGGGAGGCUUGGAAGCAGAGACGCCAGUCUCUGUGGAGUCGUCCUUGAAAUACCACCCUGGUGUCUUUGAGGUUCUAACCCAGACCCGUCAUCCGGGUCGGGGACCGUGCAUGGUAGGCAGUUUGACUGGGGCGGUCUCCUCCCAAAGCGUAACGGAGGAGUUCGAAGGUUACCUAGGUCCGGUCGGAAAUCGGACUGAUAGUGCAAUGGCAAAAGGUAGCUUAACUGCGAGACCGACAAGUCGGGCAGGUGCGAAAGCAGGACAUAGUGAUCCGGUGGUUCUGUAUGGAAGGGCCAUCGCUCAACGGAUAAAAGGUACUCCGGGGAUAACAGGCUGAUUCCGCCCAAGAGUUCAUAUCGACGGCGGAGUUUGGCACCUCGAUGUCGGCUCAUCACAUCCUGGGGCUGUAGUCGGUCCCAAGGGUAUGGCUGUUCGCCAUUUAAAGUGGUACGUGAGCUGGGUUUAAAACGUCGUGAGACAGUUUGGUCCCUAUCUGCAGUGGGCGUUGGAAGUUUGACGGGGGCUGCUCCUAGUACGAGAGGACCGGAGUGGACGAACCUCUGGUGUACCGGUUGUAACGCCAGUUGCAUAGCCGGGUAGCUAAGUUCGGAAGAGAUAAGCGCUGAAAGCAUCUAAGCGCGAAACUCGCCUGAAGAUGAGACUUCCCUUGCGGUUUAACCGCACUAAAGGGUCGUUCGAGACCAGGACGUUGAUAGGUGGGGUGUGGAAGCGCGGUAACGCGUGAAGCUAACCCAUACUAAUUGCCCGUGAGGCUUGACUCU